RNAcentral lists this long non-coding RNA (586 nucleotides) under Astyanax mexicanus (Mexican tetra). Its description in RNAcentral is "lncRNA (ENSAMXG00005011541.1)". The record is from RNAcentral. Lineage: Eukaryota; Metazoa; Chordata; Actinopteri; Characiformes; Acestrorhamphidae.
CUUUUAUAUCUACUGUUUAAAACCUGUGACAUUGUUCUACUUUAUUUUUUCUCCACAUCUCAUUUCCAGACUGCACACAUUCAGAGCAGAACCUCAAGAACCCAGCUGUGUGUCUAUGAAGAGCAACAACUCGAUGACUGAGCCUCUUAAAUUCAGUAAUGAAAGAAUGGGCGCUGACCUGAGACUGCAGACAUUCAGGGCAGAACCUCCAGAGCCCAGCUAUGUAUCUAUGAAGAGCAACCACUCGAUGAUUGAGCCUCUUAAAUUCAGUAAUGAAAGAAUGGGCGAUGACCUGAGAUUGCACACAUUCAGAGCAGAACCUCCAGAGCCCAGCUGUGUAUCUAUGAAGAGCAGCCACUCGAUGAUUGAGCCUCUUAAAUUCAGUAAUGAAAGAAUGGGCGCUGACCUGAGACUCCAGACAUUCAGAGCAGAACCUCCAGAGCCCAGCUAUGUAUCUAUGAAGAGCAGCCACUCGAUGAUUGAGCCUCUUAAAUUCAGUAAUGAAAGAAUGGGUGCUGACCUGAGCUGUGGAAGGGAUAUGCGAUUCCAGGAUCAGUCCAGGUGUGGAGUGUGUGAGCAGAUUCAG